AUUGAACGCUGGCGGCAUGCUUUACACAUGCAAGUCGAACGGCAGCGUGGGCUUCGGCCUGGCGGCGAGUGGCGAACGGGUGAGUAAUACAUCGGAACGUGCCCAGUAGUGGGGGAUAGCUCGGCGAAAGCCGGAUUAAUACCGCAUACGACCUGAGGGUGAAAGCGGGGGAUCUUCGGACCUCGCGCUAUUGGAGCGGCCGAUGGCAGAUUAGCUAGUUGGUGGGGUAAAGGCCUACCAAGGCGACGAUCUGUAGCUGGUCUGAGAGGACGACCAGCCACACUGGGACUGAGACACGGCCCAGACUCCUACGGGAGGCAGCAGUGGGUAAUUUUGGACAAUGGGCGAAAGCCUGAUCCAGCAAUGCCGCGUGUGUGAUGAAGGCCUUCGGGUUGUAAAGCACUUUUGGCGGGAACGAAAAGGACUGUGCCAAUACCACGGUUCGAUGACGGUACCCGCAGAAUAAGCACCGGCUAACUACGU
This 483-nucleotide ribosomal RNA is filed under the name uncultured bacterium. RNAcentral describes it as "partial 16S ribosomal RNA". It matches the Rfam family "Bacterial small subunit ribosomal RNA", at positions 30 to 506 of the family's 1533-position model. The record is from RNAcentral.